CUACGGGUGGCUGCAGUGGGGAAUAUUGGGCAAUGGGCGAAAGCCUGACCCAGCAACGCCGCGUGAAGGAAGAAGGUUUUCGGAUCGUAAACUUCUAUCCCAGGUGAAGAUAAUGACGGUAGCCUGGAAGGAAGCCCCGGCUAACUACGUGCCAGCAGCCGCGGUAAUACGUAGGGGGCAAGCGUUGUCCGGAAUGAUUGGGCGUAAAGGGCGCGUAGGCGGCCUUCUAAGUCCGAUGUGAAAGUCCUGCUUUUAAGGUGGGAAUUGCAUUGGAAACUGGAGGGCUUGAGUGCAGGAGAGGUAAGUGGAAUUCCCGGUGUAGCGGUGAAAUGCGUAGAGAUCGGGAGGAACACCAGUGGCGAAGGCGACUUACUGGACUGUAACUGACGCUGGGGCGCGAAAGUGUGGGGAGCAAACAGGAUUAGAUACCCGAGUAGUC
This 439-nucleotide ribosomal RNA is filed under the name uncultured bacterium. Its description in RNAcentral is "partial 16S ribosomal RNA". It matches the Rfam family "Bacterial small subunit ribosomal RNA", at positions 339 to 795 of the family's 1533-position model. The record is from RNAcentral.